CGAAGGAUGCAAGCGUUAUCCGGAUUCAUUGGGUUUAAAGGGUGCGUAGGCGGACUGAUAAGUCAGUGGUGAAAUCUCUUUGCUUAACAAAGAAACUGCCAUUGAUACUGUCGGUCUAGAGUAUAGAUGACGUUGGCGGAAUAUGACAUGUAGUGGUGAAAUACUUAGAUAUGUCAUAGAACACCGAUUGCGAAGGCAGCUAACGAAACUAUAACUGACGCUGAGGCACGAAAGUGCGGGGAUCAAACAGGAUUAGAUACCCUGGUAGUCCGCAACCGUAAACGAUGAUCACUCGUUGUGGCGAUAUGACAGUCAGCGACCAAGCGAAAGCGAUAAGUAAUCCACGUGGGGAUACGCCGGCAACGGUGA
This 369-nucleotide ribosomal RNA is filed under the name uncultured organism. Its description in RNAcentral is "bacterial SSU rRNA". It matches the Rfam family "Bacterial small subunit ribosomal RNA", at positions 526 to 897 of the family's 1533-position model. The record is from RNAcentral.